Molecule: ribosomal RNA, 468 nt
Filed under: uncultured bacterium
Lineage: Bacteria
Description: partial 16S ribosomal RNA
Rfam family: Bacterial small subunit ribosomal RNA
Source: RNAcentral
GAUGAACGCUGGCGGCGUGCCUAACACAUGCAAGUCGAACGGAAAGACCCUGCUUUUGUGCGGUUCUCGAUUGGGGAAGGGGUGAGUAUCACGCGUGUAUCCUGCCCUUGUCUUUCGGAGAACUUCACGAAAAUGCGGCUAAUACAGGAUAGGAUCUCCUGCUGCAUUGUGGGCGUUGGAAAAUUUCGGCGGUUGGGGAUGGACUCGCGGCUUACCAGCUUGUUGGUGGGGUAGUGGCUGACCAAGGCUUUGACGGGUAGGCGGCCUGAGAGGGUGACCGGGCACAUUGGGAAUAAGAUACGGCCCAGACUCCUACGGGAGACAGCAGUGGGGAAUAUUGCACAAUGGGCGGAAGCCUGAUGCAGCAACGCCGCGUGCGGGAUGACGGCCUUCGGGUUGUAAACCGCUUUCGCCUGUGACGAAGCGUGAGUGACGGUAAUGGGUAAAGAAGCACCGGCUAACUACGUG